UGUAUCGGCCGGAAUAGAACCCGGGCCGCCCGCGUGGCAGCGAGCAUUCUACCACUGAACCACCGAUGG
RNAcentral lists this transfer RNA (69 nucleotides) under Cordylochernes scorpioides. RNAcentral describes it as "tRNA-OTHER". Lineage: Eukaryota; Metazoa; Arthropoda; Arachnida; Pseudoscorpiones; Chernetidae. The record is from RNAcentral.